This 4871-nucleotide long non-coding RNA is filed under the name Sus scrofa (pig). RNAcentral describes it as "lncRNA (ENSSSCG00045012140.1)". The record is from RNAcentral. Lineage: Eukaryota; Metazoa; Chordata; Mammalia; Artiodactyla; Suidae.
AAGCAUGCACAGGUGUGCGGGAGGAGGAAAAGAAUGGCCUGUGUGAGUUGGAACUGGGUGGGGAUGAUGUGGGGUCCCCAAGGCCAGCUGGCUGCUCAGAGCUGAGGGGAAGAGGGUCUAGAGCCGAAGCACCCAGUUUGGAACCCCUCUCAGAUGCCCAUGUUUGCGCUCAAGAAGAGCUCCCACAUCGUUCCAGCAUUUUUUGUGGUAUUGGCUGCACAAGGCAGUGUGCUCUGCCCUGAAUGCCCAGCCUUGGCUGGGGAGAUGGUGACGAUGAGGGUGGUGGCUCAUGGUAACGAAGGCUCCAAUCUAAGACAAUUCUGAAUAGUUGUACAGCUAUUAACUGACUUCAAUCUCUGACAGUCCAUUGAGAAAGGGAAGGAAGUGGAAAGGCAUUAUCACCAUUAUGUUAUCACUAUUUUACUAAUGAGGAAAUGGGCUCAGGCAGUCCGGCUACUAGGUACUGCCACUAGUAGGUGGUGGGACGCAAACCUGGCCCCUCACUUGGAGACACUCUGCAAAUGAAUGAGCUCACAGCCCCAGUCUUGAGGCCACAUGCCUGUCUGAGGCAGGGGAAUGUGGACUGUGGCUCUGAGAAAGUCAUGAAUGUGCUUACUCUGCUGUGACAUUGUGAUAGCAUCACUUUGAGUGCAAAUGAGACAACAGAAAUGAAAAUCUCAAGCAGAGAAGAGGCGCUCCUUAAAUGUUUGUUGACAAGAUAUUGAAUUCAAGGUUGUCAUUGAGCUUUUUUGGUUUUAUUUAUUUAUUUUGUUCAGUCUACGUUUCUUUACACUCCUUUCUGGAGGCUUGUAUAUUUUGUUCAUACUUUUUCAUUCUGACAUAGCAGAAAACAGAGAGUCUGGUCCCGCCUUUUGAAUCUCAGAGGUUUAGGCCCCGGGAUAAGAAAAAAGAUUGGGAAAAAGGCAUGAUGGUAGAAGAACUGGCCCAUGCCGUGUGCUAGGUAAAGGUUUCCUGGGCUCAGGGGAGGAGAGAGUCAGAGGUGAAGAAAAGUAGAGAUGCUAGUGGGGCCCUGAGAAGGAGCCCUAUAUUUUAGAUAAAUGUGGUCUAAAACUUGUCUCUGACAUAUUAGCUGUUAGGAUGUCUCUAGAGCACUGGGAGAGGGUGGUUGAUCCGUGAUGACUAAACAUAUGAAGGGAUAAGAAAGGCUUGUUGGAGAAGUGGGGUUUGAGCAGUCACAUGUUGCAAACCCAUUGGAUGGAGAGCUCUUCGUAGAAGAGGAAUGGGACUUUGGGUUUCUGGGCCAAGAAAGAACUGGAACUUGAUCUUACAUCUUGACUUCUUCAUUUUCUGCUUUCUUCUGCAAGCAGCUCGCUCUUUCAUCAUCUCUAUAUCCUAGCUUGCUCUGAAAUUUGGGGAAGAGAGAACUCUUGCUUCUGCAAGCUCUUUGCAUUCCUGAGGGGCUGAAGAGUUCUGUCAUGGACCUGGUUUGUAGUCAGCUAUCACUUAGUAUUAAACCACUACCUCUACACUUGGUCCAGGUUGUAUACCAAUACUGCUGUCGGAAGAAGAUGCAUAGCCAGGUAGAAUGGCUCCUCAGAGGGGGGACUUGCACUUUGCAUCUGUCUGAUUGACUAGGGCAUAAAGUCCGCACAGUACUUGCUUCCCUCCUGGUAGGUGGGAUGGAAAGUGCAGGUUCUGGAGAUCAGACAGAAUUGGGAGAGGCCUGGAUAUUCACAGCUAAUAGUUCUCUCUUAUUGACUCAGUUUGAACUGUAUUUUUUUUUUUUUUUUGUCUUUUGUAGCUGUUGGAAUACAGUGCAGACUAUUACUCUGACCAUUUUGCUCCAGGAAAAGCAUUAGUAAUUUAUAAAUAAAAUCCACAUAAAAAUAGAAGUCAAAUAUAGGUUUAUUGACAACAAAGGCACUAUUAAUGUUGGAAUGGGCCGGUUUGAAGUUGAGUGAGUUUUUGUUGCUGAUUUAUGUGCUGUUUUAAGAGGACGACAGUUGUGAGGGCGAGUUUUGAGGGUUCUUAGGAGCUGGCAGCUGGUAAGGAGGUUUGCAGAAAACUAUUUAUUUCUCUUGAAUUUAUCCUACUUGUUAAAUAAAAUUUGGCAGAUGGAUUGCAACAAGAGUAACGAAGCCAUCAUGUAGCCUCGUUUUAUCUUUAGCGUAUCAGUUGUUAUAUGGAAAAGGGAGUUUUCUUAGUUUGGGGGAGUUCUCUCCUCUUGGUGGAGAGAAUUGGAUUCAUUUAACUGGAAAAUUAGGAGAAUUGAAAGUUCAUUUCUGAGCUUUACCACCCAGGGUAGUUGCCUGUUAAAUCCUUUCACCAGGGCCCAUCUGAUUUGCCAGUGCUGUGAAAUGUUUUAGGGCAGACAUGCAAAAUUUGUGAUCCUUAAGGUCCCCGACGCCCCCUGAUUCCAGUGGUAGCAAACUUCAGGGUCAAUUUUUCCUUCUAAGUCCCGGUUUCUGUAUGUGCAUGCACACAUGUGUGUGCUCUUGCUUUUUGUCCUGGUCUUUGCUUUGUGUGUGUUGGUCUGCUCUCUUGCUUGCAGACAGCACAUUGUGUCAAGAAGGCACAGAUGCCAUCCCCCUGGAGAAGGACCAACAUCUCAAGAGAGCCUUAGCACAUGUGGGUGGCUGGUUGGUAAACUGCAGGAAUGCUGGGUAUUUGUGAUGACUCUGUUGGUUUCUUGUUACCGCUGUAACAAAUUAUUGCAUGCUAAGCGGCUUAAAAUGACACAGACUUACUGACUUACUAUCUUCCAUUUUGGAGGUCAGAAGUCCAAGCUAGGCCUUACUGAGCUAAAAUCAAGGUGUUGGCAAGGGCUGUGCUCCUUCUAGAGGCUGUAGGGGAAAUCUGUUUUCUUACCUUUCUAGCUUCGAGGCUGCCCACAUUCCUUGGCUUAGGACCCUGUAUCACUCCAGCGUCUGCUUCAUUUUGCACAUCUUCUCAGGGAAGUACUCUUACAAAAGACCCUUGUGCUUAGCAUGGAGCCUAUCUGCAUAAUCCAGGAUAAUCUCCCCAUGGCAAGAUUGUUAAGUGAAUCCCACAAGCAGAAUCGCUUUUGCCAUGUAAGGUAAUACUCGCAGGUUCUAGGGAUAAGGAUGUGGACCCUUUGCAGGGUUGUGGGGGCAUAUCUUUACCUUUGCCAAUGGGCAAGAAGACAUCAGGUGGUAAAGAUGGACUUAUUUCUCUGGCCAGUUUUCUCAGGAGCCUUCCUGAACUUCUGAAAUCACCCUGUUGGUAUAAUGGGAAUGAUUAUUUCUGUUUGGGGGGAAUGUAACAUAAACUAUACAACUUAGCUUUAUUCCUGCUCAUGGUACAGUUGAUUGAAAGGCAACUCCUUUUUACCUGUUCCCCCCUCCCCCCUUCUUGUUUCCCAAGACAAAAUUCUACCACUUUCUGGCUAUAUUCUAUAUUUGUCUCUUUUUUUUCAAAUCUGACAACUAAACCCCAAAACGUCAGUCUCUAAAUGUUGUAUAUUUCUUGUCUCUGAUAUGAGGAAGGUCACUGUCUUCACUUGGAAGGGCUGGAGCAGGUGGUCUGUCUAGUGUCUGUUCAGAAUGUGCAUUGCAUGAUGUCACAGUGGUUGGGCCUGGGAGGUCUUAGUGAGGGGGACUGGACCCUGAGGACAUUUUGGAAUUUCUGUUCUGGAUAGCAGAAAAAGCACAGAAUGUUUAUCACCUGAUGAAUGAAUAAAAUGUGGUAUAUCCAUACAAUGUAAUAGUAUUCAACCCUAAAAAGGAAUGAAGUAUUGAUGUAUGCUACUAUGUAGAUGAAUAUUUAUUUCUUAUGUAAAUUUUUUUUUUUUUUUUUUUUUUUUGCUCUUUAGGGCCACAACCUUGGCGUAUGAAAGUUCCCAGGCUAGAGGUUGAAUUGGAGCUGCAGCUGCCAGCCUACUCCACAGCUGCAGCAAUGUGGGAUCUGAGCCUCAUCUGUGACCUAUAGCACAGCUCAUGGCAACGCCAGAUCCUUAACCCACUUAGUGAGGCCAGGGAUCGAACUGCAUCCUCAUGGACCCUAGCCAGGUUUGUUACUGUUGAGCUACAAUGGGAACUCCUGUAGAUGAAUUUUUAAAACACUCUGCUAAGUUAAAGAUGCUAGACAAAAACGUGACAUAUUUAAUGAUUCUAUUUACUUGAAAUAUCUUGCAUAAAUAAAUCCAUGGUGAUAAAAUUGAUUACUGGUUGCCAGGGGCUGGGGAGGGAGUGACCAUUUAACGGUAUGGAGUUUCCUUUUAAGAUGAUGAAAAAAUUUUGGAACUAUAUAGAGGUGGUAGCUGUACAAUAUUGUGAAUAUAUGAAAUGCUACUUAAUUAUUAAAUUUAAAAUAGUUAAGUUUUUGUGAUGAGCGUUUUACCUCAAUUAAGGAAAAAGACUUCAUAUUUCUGGUCCAACAUGUAACAAGCUUCGAAAUUUCCUGCAUCCUAACAAUAGAUAAAAGCUGAACAACCUGAAAAAUGAACAACUUUUCUUGGAUCCCUAAGGGAACUGAGGUCACACAGGGCAAACUAGUGCCCCAGAACUGGCAGGACAGGAGAAUACAGAGAAUCUCAACUUAGCAGAGCAGCAGCUUCCCUAGGGACCAGUGCCUGGGUAGAGAAAGCUCAGUUUUCAGUAAUGGAAAAAUUGCCAGAGGUGCAGUGUGGACAACUCGGGAGAGUGGAUAACUAACUACAGGGGACCUAGUUACCAAGUGGCCCUCCAUACUGCUGUGCUCUUUACCUCCUGGACCUCAGUGGAAAACGGAGAAACAUCCCAUCAAGCUUCUGGCAGGAAGAGGGGGAAAGGAAUGACUUUGAAAUAAGCUAGAGCUUAACAAAGUCUGCCCUCAGGAGAAUUACUUUACUGGAGUCUAACUUCCCUGGAAGGAGGGAAAUACCCAACUCUAGCUGCCUCUAGCCAGGCUGU